This 354-nucleotide transfer-messenger RNA is filed under the name Acutalibacteraceae. Its description in RNAcentral is "RUG420 sp900542575 Standard tmRNA". It matches the Rfam family "transfer-messenger RNA". Rfam says of the family: Bacterial tmRNA, also known as 10Sa RNA or SsrA, is named for its dual tRNA and mRNA-like properties. RNAcentral also lists the same sequence under 2 other names. Lineage: Bacteria; Bacillati; Bacillota; Clostridia; Eubacteriales. The record is from RNAcentral.
GGGGAUGAAAGGAUUUCGACGGGGACCAACAAGCAUGAUAAGCGGGUAGAGGCGAGAAUCCUCUAUAAACUUCUCAAACUUAUAAAUUAGAUAACAACUCUAAUUACGAACUGCAGGCUGCGUAAGCACCCUGCCGUUUCUGCCGGGAGCACCGCGGCCCGGACAGAAGCGUCGACUUGAGCGGUGAACGUGCAUCGGAGAGGGUUUCGACUCCGGUCAUGAACCAGGAACUACCGACGGCACCGGCCUGUUGACCGGCGAGUGCCCGGGGGAAUCCUAAUAGAUCAAAUACACCCGUAGAAAGUUGUGUGGACGGGUUUUCGGACGUGGUUUCGAGUACCACCAUCUCCACCA